RNAcentral lists this ribosomal RNA (253 nucleotides) under uncultured bacterium. RNAcentral's name for it is "partial 16S ribosomal RNA". It matches the Rfam family "Bacterial small subunit ribosomal RNA", at positions 524 to 776 of the family's 1533-position model. The record is from RNAcentral.
GACGGAGGGUGCAAGCGUUGUUCGGAUUGACUGGGCGUAAAGGGCGUGUAGGCGGUUGGUCAAGUCCGAUGUGAAAGCCCGGGGCUCAGCUUCGGAAGUGCAUCGGAAACUAGCCAGCUGGAGCGCGAUAGAGGAGGGCGGAAUUCCUGGUGUAGCGGUGAAAUGCGUAGAUAUCAUGAGGAACACCAGAGGCGAAGGCGGCUACCUGGACAGUUACUGACGCUCAGGCACGAAAGCGUGGGGAGCAAAAGGG